Molecule: transfer-messenger RNA, 471 nt
Filed under: bovine gut metagenome
Description: Alphaproteobacteria transfer-messenger RNA
Rfam family: Alphaproteobacteria transfer-messenger RNA
About the family: Bacterial tmRNA, also known as 10Sa RNA or SsrA, is named for its dual tRNA and mRNA-like properties.
Source: RNAcentral
UUGAAAUAUAUUUUCGUUUACAUAUAAUAAGCUUUGUCAAGAAAUUGACUAUGACACCAGAGGCGCUAUGAAAUAGGUUUUCAAGACCCGGGGGCAGUACCCGGCACCUCCACCAAUUACAGAGAUUUUUAUAAUGAAAUUAAAGUUAUAGAAAUUGAGAAAAAAUUAUUUGCUGCGCCGCUUAUUUGUUUUUGAAGCGUACACAAUCGUACGUGAAAAAACUAAUAAGCAAGUAUGAAAUGAUUUUUGCGCGAUUUAUGGGGGUGAAACAGGCUUGAUUGAGGACAAUAAAGAUGGUUUAUGCCGUGUCCGGUGAGAUACCACCGUUAUCGGUUCAAAAUAAAUAAACGCAAAUGAUAAUAAUUUUGCGCCAGUUGCUGUAGCUGCUUAGUGUAGCGUGCAACGCUUAAGAUUCUUAUAGCUUUGGUUUGUUAUAAGUGGGGAGUGAGCCACCCAGCAACAGAACGGCUC